CUUGCAUGAUCAAGGACAUCACCUACACAGAUCCAACUUGGAAGGACAAAUAAUUCAUCUUUGUCCCACCAGCAAGGUAGAGGUUUGAGAUUGAUUCCCAUCAAUGGUCAUCCAAAAGCUGUGCAGCCAUUCCACCAUACUAUCCGCUAACACCUGGCUUACUCCUCCACUUCUCCAUCCUUUGAUAUGAGUAAGGUUCUCAAUACCAACUGACCUAAUAAGUGCAGGUUUGUAGCACUGUGGGAUAGGUAAGUAUCACCACCAGAGAAAGUACUUAUAUGCCUUUGACAUACUUUCUUAAUUAAGAUUUAUAUAUUGUUAGUAGCCACAGAGCUAAAUUCCAUCAUAAAUCUGAUGCCACAAAUAUACUUCCACCACAAUGGCACAGAUGCAGGAAAAGUACAAUGUCUACAAGAUCCUAUGCCCAGACAUAUAUCAUCUGGAAUAUUGUCAUCUAAGUACUUACUGGUGGUUAUUUGUUGUUUUUGUUCUAAGUUUGAAAAAAAAAAAAAAAAAAAC
Long non-coding RNA from Xenopus tropicalis (tropical clawed frog), 519 nucleotides. RefSeq lists it as uncharacterized. The transcript has 3 exons. The record is from RefSeq and is a predicted model, not a curated record. Lineage: Eukaryota; Metazoa; Chordata; Amphibia; Anura; Pipidae.